RNAcentral lists this ribosomal RNA (253 nucleotides) under uncultured bacterium. Its description in RNAcentral is "partial 16S ribosomal RNA". It matches the Rfam family "Bacterial small subunit ribosomal RNA", at positions 524 to 776 of the family's 1533-position model. The record is from RNAcentral.
UACAGAGGUGGCAAGCGUUGUUCGGAAUUACUGGGCGUAAAGGGCGCGUAGGCGGUCUUUUAAGUUCCGUGUGAAAUCCCUCGGCUCAACUGGGGAACUGCACGGAAAACUGGGAGGCUUGAGUUCGGGAGAGGGAAGCGGAAUUCCGGGUGUAGCGGUGAAAUGCGUAGAGAUCGGGAGGAAGGCCGGUGGCGAAGGCGGCGCUCUGGAACGUAUCUGACGCUGAGACACGAAAGCGUGGGGAGCAAACAGG